Molecule: long non-coding RNA, 483 nt
Filed under: Equus caballus (horse)
Lineage: Eukaryota; Metazoa; Chordata; Mammalia; Perissodactyla; Equidae
Description: lncRNA (ENSECAG00000059088.1)
Source: RNAcentral
GUGAGGUCACUGAUCCCAUUCACAGAUGAGGGAACAGAGAGGGAGAGUGACCUGCCUGAGGUCACACAGAAGGGAGGAGCGGCACCAGGGGGCAGAGGCCCAGCAGCUACCAAGAGGUGGGGCUGGGGUAGGACCUAGGUUCUGGCCCCAGAGAGGGUGCCUCAACUACGCCUCUGUCCUGCCCCUCACGAUGAUGUCCCCAUGCCCUGCAUUACCCACUGUACCCACCAAGGCCUCAAGGUCACCCUCAAGCCCCCGGGGCCCACCCCACCUGGUGCACUGGCCUGCCUCUGAAGCCCCGCUCUAACAUCCUGGAGGAGGACAGUGUGUUCGGCUUCAGAGGCCACGAAAAAGCAGCGGCAUCGCCUUCCUGUCCUAAAGCCUCGCAGUUUGUACCAAAAACAAGUGGGGCAGAGGUCGCCGGAUCUGGAAUCACCCCACACAUCACCUGGUCAGAGUUUCACAGCCUGGCUGACCUCCUCC